CGGGCUGUAGCGCAGCUUGGCAGCGCGCCUCGUUCGGGACGAGGAGGCCGCCGGUUCAAAUCCGGCCAGCCCGA
This 74-nucleotide transfer RNA is filed under the name Micromonospora sp. C51. RNAcentral's name for it is "tRNA-Pro". It matches the Rfam family "tRNA". Rfam says of the family: Transfer RNA (tRNA) molecules are approximately 80 nucleotides in length. Their secondary structure includes four short double-helical elements and three loops (D, anti-codon, and T loops). Lineage: Bacteria; Bacillati; Actinomycetota; Actinomycetes; Micromonosporales; Micromonosporaceae. The record is from RNAcentral.